This 467-nucleotide ribosomal RNA is filed under the name uncultured bacterium. Its description in RNAcentral is "partial 16S ribosomal RNA". It matches the Rfam family "Bacterial small subunit ribosomal RNA", at positions 28 to 507 of the family's 1533-position model. The record is from RNAcentral.
GACGAACGCUGGCGGCGUGCUUAACACAUGCCAGUCGAACGGAAAGGCCCUGCUUUUGUGGGGUGCUCGAGUGGCGAACGGGUGAGUAACACGUGAGUAACCUGCCCUUGACUUUGGGAUAACUUCAGGAAACUGGGGCUAAUACCGGAUAGGAGCUCCUGCUGCAUGGUGGGGGUUGGAAAGUUUCGGCGGUUGGGGAUGGACUCGCGGCUUAUCAGCUUGUUGGUGGGGUAGUGGCUUACCAAGGCUUUGACGGGUAGCCGGCCUAGAGGGUGACCGGCCACAUUGGGACUGAGAUACGGCCCAGACUCCUACGGGAGGCAGCAGUGGGGAAUAUUGCACAAUGGGCGGAAGCCUGAUGCAGCAACGCCGCGUGCGGGAUGACGGCCUUCGGGUUGUAAACCGCUUUCGCCUGUGACGAAGCGUGAGUGACGGUAAUGGGUAAAGAAGCACCGGCUAACUACGUG